AGUGAACGCUGGCGGUAGGCCUAACACAUGCAAGUCGAACGGCAGCACAGUAAGAGCUUGCUCUUACGGGUGGCGAGUGGCGGACGGGUGCGGAAUACAUCGGAAUCUACUUUUUCGUGGGGGAUAACGUAGGGAAACUUACGCUAAUACCGCAUACGACCUACGGGUGAAAGCAGGGGAUCUUCUGACCUUGCGCGAUUGAAUGAGCCGAUGUCGGAUUAGCUAGUUGGCGGGGUAAAGGCCCACCAAGGCGACGAUCCGUAGCUGGUCUGAGAGGAUGAUCAGCCACACUGGAACUGAGACACGGUCCAGACUCCUACGGGAGGCAGCAGUGGGGAAUAUUGGACAAUGGGCGCAAGCCUGAUCCAGCCAUACCGCGUGGGUGAAGAAGGCCUUCGGGUUGUAAAGCCCUUUUGUUGGGAAAGAAAAGCAGCAGGUUAAUACCCCGCUGUUCUGACGGUACCCAAAGAAUAAGCACCGGCUAACUUCGUG
RNAcentral lists this ribosomal RNA (492 nucleotides) under uncultured bacterium. RNAcentral describes it as "partial 16S ribosomal RNA". It matches the Rfam family "Bacterial small subunit ribosomal RNA", at positions 29 to 507 of the family's 1533-position model. The record is from RNAcentral.